AUUUCUGUAACGCAAUAAAUAGCGCGUUGGACUUCUAAUCCAAAGGUCGUGGGUUCGAAUCCUACCUGGGAUG
Trichonephila inaurata madagascariensis is the source of this 73-nucleotide non-coding RNA. The record is from the annotation of a GenBank genome assembly. NCBI's taxonomy places the organism in Eukaryota, Metazoa, Arthropoda, Arachnida, Araneae, Nephilidae.